Molecule: ribosomal RNA, 292 nt
Filed under: uncultured bacterium
Lineage: Bacteria
Also listed under: 1 other name
Description: partial 16S ribosomal RNA
Source: RNAcentral
GGACUACAAGGGUAUCUAAUCCUGUUUGCUCCCCACGCUUUCGUGCCUGAGCGUCAGUAUUGGCCCAGGGGGCUGCCUUCGCCAUCGGUGUUCCUCCGCAUCUCUACGCAUUUCACUGCUACACGCGGAAUUCCACCCCCCUCUGCCAUACUCGAGCCUGCCAGUUUCCAAUGCCAUUCCCAGGUUGAGCCCGGGGCUUUCACAUCAGACAUAACAGACCGCCUGCGCACGCUUUACGCCCAGUAAUUCCGAUUAACGCUCGCACCCUACGUAUUACCGCGGCGGCUGGCAC